Molecule: long non-coding RNA, 2284 nt
Filed under: Coffea arabica (coffee)
Lineage: Eukaryota; Viridiplantae; Streptophyta; Magnoliopsida; Gentianales; Rubiaceae
Description: long non-coding RNA (CARA_LNC001380)
Source: RNAcentral
ACACCUGGCUCUACAACACCUGGCUCUACACCUCCGGUAUCUCCCUUCGCCGGUAAGGUUGCAAUAGUCAUCACUCUCUUAUGACUAGUCAUCAGUAGAGUACUGUUUUUCUGCUUUUGGUCGUGACCAAAUGUCCAUUUUGUCCUUGAUAACCGGCCUCCAAGAAGUAGGGAGGUAGCUUUUUUUACUGGGUCAAAACCCUACUCCAAAUAGUAGUAUAUCAAAGUUUGACAGAAAAAAUAGAUCAAAGGCUUUGUAUUAUACCCGUGCGGUACACUUUUUUAGUACUGCAUGUAAGUUAGUGAAUAGAUGAUACACUUUCUUAUCGAUGUGCAUAUUUUUUAAAAAUACUUAAAAAAAUACUGAAAAUAUAGACCGAAAAUAUCUAUAAUUUUCGAUUAAAAAACCUAUUUGGAAUCAUAAUUGGCUUGAAAUUAUGGGGAGAAGUCUGUAGAGGGGCCUUAGUCUAGAUCUAGAACAAUCUGUUAAGAGGACAUAUUGGUAAAUCCACAAACGGGGGUUCAUUUGUAUGGUAUAGUAGAAAACUAGUGAUAAGUUUUUGUUAAUUGAAGGGGUUAUUGUCAAUUAUGGCGACAAAUUUUGCCAUAUUAUGUGUAGUUCUAUGGAUGAGUGAUAUAUCACGUCAUGUGUAUUUACAUUAAAUAAAAAUGGUAACAAAAAUUUGUCAUUAAGGGGUUGUGGUGGAUGGAUCUUUUGAGCGGAUAAUGCAAGGCGGCCAGAAAAGUUAGGUGGAAAUGUGGAAAAUGGUGGAUCAGAGGGUGCAAUUAUUUACUGGUUGUCUUCUUAUACACUAAUAAUCCGUUUUAAGGUGGCAUCCACGGAGAUGUUUAGUAAAUUAUUUGGUAUUACAACCAAAUCUUUCCUUUUCGACGUCACAAGUCACACCCACCUUGCAACUUGCACGGGGAUUAAUUGGCUGAAAUUGACUUCGGCUCCUCCUAUGGGACAUGUUUGUGGUUGUAUCACAAGUUGUAUGGUGGACGUGCGUCCUUACUCUUUUUGCUGGAUGGAAGAUCCAGGGCUUGUACCUUAAGAAGGGUAAGAGGGCUAAUGAAUACAAGGUGCAGGAGUUUCAGUUGAAUUCCGUUUCUGAUGACUAACCAAACAAACAUAGCCGAAGGGACAUGAUAUCUAGGUGGUAGUAAGACUUAAUUCUCUGUAAGGAGCUCGACAGUGGUAAAGAGCAGGUGCUCUAAUGAAGUCUGUGCUGUGUUUCAGUCUAAAUAUGUACCUCCUGCUCGAGUAAGAUUGAAUGGGCUGCGAUAUGCUGUUGUGCAAGACUUUGUAAUACAAAAUCUUGAAUGUGCUGCGAUAUGCUGUUGCCCAUCAUGAUGGUUGUGUGCAGCAAUUGAAAUGGAAGCUUGAUUAAUUUGGCAUAUGGAACCGACGAAAAGUUAGGUCUUAGGUCAUAGGAAGUGGAAGUGUUGUUAUGCAUGUGAUCAUGUGCAUGACAUGGUCCAUGCUCUCAGCCUGUGGUGGGAAAGAAUCCGAGUAGGGUGGAAUAAAGGGAAAUAUGGUUGGAUGUGGUAGGUGAUGGGACUGCUUAUUAAUGAACAAAUUGAAUUGUAAAUGGCAUGGAUGGUCUCAAAGCAAUGUGAUGAUGUAGUGUUUCUUUUUCUUCCUUGAUCAAUAGCAAUUGUAUCAUGACAUGGGGCUUCUUUUUGCAGCUUGCUUGGUGCAAUGUCUCUGUCCCCCUCUUUAUACUCCUUGAUGCUGUACUGUACUCCAGCCUAUUGACUGCUACAGUUUUAUUUCUUGUGCAAGCUUUCCUGCAUUUAUUGCAUUACUUGGAUGAAGAAUGUUGACAGCAAAAAGAUUUUCUCGAUGCAUAAUGUGUAGGUGCUGGAGGAAGAGAGGCGUUUCGGUUUCGCAGGAAGUCUGCAUCAUUCGCAUAUGAGAAAUCCAGCAGUGUUGGACCCAGGAGCCCUCCUCCUCCUUACGACCUGUGAGAUAUGAUGAGGCUUGGCAUUUUCCAUGUUGAGCGGCGGCUAAAGUAGUCGGAUUUUCGUCUUCUUCUCAGCUUUGUCAUGGGGAAAUCUUUUAGAUGAAUAGCACUGAGUGUGAAAAAGUUUGGUGGCGUGCAAUCAAAAAAUUAAUCUUGUAAAUAUGGGUUAUGGUAGUGUCUGCUGUCUCGGUCGCGGUGUAUGGAGGGCUGGUCAUGCAGACUUUUGUAAAAGCUCAGUUUGAAGUUUGUAAUGUGUCCUGGUCUCUGUAUGCAGAGCUCAGAGUGGUUUGGUUUCUCCCAAAACUGCUAAGUUUCUUC